This 745-nucleotide ribosomal RNA is filed under the name Anaerostipes hadrus. RNAcentral describes it as "partial 23S ribosomal RNA". It matches the Rfam family "Bacterial large subunit ribosomal RNA", at positions 2182 to 2925 of the family's 2925-position model. Lineage: Bacteria; Bacillati; Bacillota; Clostridia; Lachnospirales; Lachnospiraceae. The record is from RNAcentral.
GGAGUCGCUGUUGGGAUACCACCCUUACCAUGUUGGAUUUCUAACCUGUGGCCGUAAGCCGGUCAGGGGACAAUGUCAGGCGGGGAGUUUGACUGGGGCGGUCGCCUCCGAAAGGGUAUCGGAGGCGCUCAAAGGUUCCCUCAGAAUGGUUGGAAACCAUUCGAAGAGUGCAAAGGCAGAAGGGAGCUUGACUGUGACACCGACGGGUGGAGCAGGUACGAAAGUAGGACUUAGUGAUCCGGUGGUAUAAAGUGGGAUUGCCAUCGCUCAACGGAUAAAAGCUACCCUGGGGAUAACAGGCUUAUCACUCCCAAGAGUUCACAUCGACGGAGUGGUUUGGCACCUCGAUGUCGGCUCAUCGCAUCCUGGAGCUGUAGCAGGUUCCAAGGGUUGGGCUGUUCGCCCAUUAAAGCGGUACGCGAGCUGGGUUCAGAACGUCGUGAGACAGUUCGGUCCCUAUCCGGCGCAGGCGGAGGAAAUUUGAUAGGAGCUGUCCUUAGUACGAGAGGACCGGGAUGGACGGACCGCUGGUGUAUCUGUUGUACUGCCAAGUGCAUAGCAGAGUAGCCAAGUCUGGAAGGGAUAAACGCUGAAGGCAUCUAAGCGUGAAGCCCCCCUAAAGAUAAGAUUUCCCAUACCGAAAGGUAGUAAGACCCCUUGAAGACGACGAGGUAGAUAGGGCAGAGGUGGAAGUACGGUAACGUAUGGAGCUGACUGUUACUAAUCGGUCGAGGCUUUAACCAAA